Microdochium nivale is the source of this 140-nucleotide non-coding RNA. The record is from the annotation of a GenBank genome assembly. NCBI's taxonomy places the organism in Eukaryota, Fungi, Ascomycota, Sordariomycetes, Xylariales, Microdochiaceae.
GGCAUUGUGGCAGAGUGGUCUAAUGCGAUAGACUAGAAAUCUAUUUCCUUCGGGUAAGUUCUUACUAACGAGGCCAAAUAUGAUAACAGCGCAUACUAAUAAAUUAUACAGGAGCGUCUGUUCGAAUCAGGCCAAUGUCG